GCUUUACACAUGCAAGUCGAACGGCAGCACGGGGCAACCUGGUGGCGAGUGGCGAACGGGUGAGUAAUAUAUCGGAACGUGCCCAAUCGUGGGGGAUAACGUAGCGAAAGUUACGCUAAUACCGCAUACGAUCUACGGAUGAAAGCGGGGGAUCGCAAGACCUCGCGCGAAUGGAGCGGCCGAUAUCAGAUUAGGUAGUUGGUGGGGUAAAGGCUCACCAAGCCAACGAUCUGUAGCUGGUCUGAGAGGACGACCAGCCACACUGGAACUGAGACACGGUCCAGACUCCUACGGGAGGCAGCAGUGGGGAAUUUUGGACAAUGGGCGCAAGCCUGAUCCAGCCAUUCCGCGUGCAGGAUGAAGGCCUUCGGGUUGUAAACUGCUUUUGUACGGAACGAAACGGUCUGCCCUAAUACGGCGGGCUAAUGACGGUACCGUAAGAAUAAGCACCGGCUAACUACGUGCCAGCAGCCGCGGUAAUACGUAGGGUGCAAGCGUUAAUCGGAAUUACUGGGCGUAAAGCGUGCGCAGGCGGUUAUAUAAGACAGAUGUGAAAUCCCCGGGCUCAACCUGGGAACUG
RNAcentral lists this ribosomal RNA (580 nucleotides) under uncultured Comamonadaceae bacterium. RNAcentral describes it as "bacterial SSU rRNA". It matches the Rfam family "Bacterial small subunit ribosomal RNA", at positions 46 to 623 of the family's 1533-position model. The record is from RNAcentral. Lineage: Bacteria; Pseudomonadati; Pseudomonadota; Betaproteobacteria; Burkholderiales; Comamonadaceae.